UGCGGUUAAAACGUUCGUAGUUGAAUUUGUGUCCCACACGGGUAAUGCACCCAAGUGCGGGUUUUGCAUUACUUGUUGCUUAUGCAUUGGUAAAACAAUGUGUAAGUGACUUUAAGUGUGACGGAUGUUUUACCGGU
This 137-nucleotide ribosomal RNA is filed under the name Sergentomyia ghesquierei. RNAcentral's name for it is "partial small subunit ribosomal RNA". The record is from RNAcentral. Lineage: Eukaryota; Metazoa; Arthropoda; Insecta; Diptera; Psychodidae.